RNAcentral lists this non-coding RNA (101 nucleotides) under Corynebacterium glucuronolyticum. RNAcentral's name for it is "TPP sequence". It matches the Rfam family "TPP riboswitch aptamer (THI element)". From Rfam's summary of the family: Vitamin B(1) in its active form thiamin pyrophosphate (TPP) is an essential coenzyme that is synthesised by coupling of pyrimidine and thiazole moieties in bacteria. Lineage: Bacteria; Bacillati; Actinomycetota; Actinomycetes; Mycobacteriales; Corynebacteriaceae. The record is from RNAcentral.
AACCAGGCAACGGGGUGCGUCCUCCCGAUGGGGGCGCUGAGAAACACCCGUCGAACCUGAUCUAGGUAGUUCUAGCGAAGGGAUUUGUCAGCAUGAAUACA